AAAAAGAUAAGCUAACUAAGCUAUCGGGUUCAUACCCCGCUAAUGAAGAUUAAAAUUCUUCUCUUUUUA
This 69-nucleotide transfer RNA is filed under the name Bisnius sordidus. Its description in RNAcentral is "tRNA-Met". It matches the Rfam family "tRNA". From Rfam's summary of the family: Transfer RNA (tRNA) molecules are approximately 80 nucleotides in length. Their secondary structure includes four short double-helical elements and three loops (D, anti-codon, and T loops). Lineage: Eukaryota; Metazoa; Arthropoda; Insecta; Coleoptera; Staphylinidae. The record is from RNAcentral.